UACGAACUGUGCGAACGUUAUUCGGAAUCACUGGGCUUACAGGGUGCGUAGGCGGCUUGUUAAGUAGGGUGUGAAAGCCCCCGGCUCAACCGGGGAAUGGCGCCCUAAACUGGCGAGCUAGAGUGAGAUAGGGGUGUGUGGAACUUCCGGUGGAGCGGUGAAAUGUGUUGAUAUCGGAAGGAACGCCGGUGGCGAAAGCGACACACUGGAUCUUGUCUGACGCUGAGGCACGAAAGCCAGGGGAGCGAACAGG
Molecule: ribosomal RNA, 253 nt
Filed under: uncultured bacterium
Lineage: Bacteria
Description: partial 16S ribosomal RNA
Rfam family: Bacterial small subunit ribosomal RNA
Source: RNAcentral